AGGUGUGAUCAUACCAGCAAUGAUGCAUUGAAUCCCAUCCGAACUCCGUAGAUAAGCGUGCUUGGGAAAGAUAAGCGUGCUUGGGCGAGAGUAAUACUAGGAUGGGUGACCUCUUGGGAAGUCCUCGUGUUGCACCAU
Molecule: ribosomal RNA, 138 nt
Filed under: Cicer arietinum (chickpea)
Lineage: Eukaryota; Viridiplantae; Streptophyta; Magnoliopsida; Fabales; Fabaceae
Source: RNAcentral